AGUGAACGCUGGCGGUAGGCCUAACACAUGCAAGUCGAACGGCAGCACAGUAAGAGCUUGCUCUUACGGGUGGCGAGUGGCGGACGGGUGAGGAAUACAUCGGAAUCUACUUUUUCGUGGGGAUAACGUAGGGAAACUUACGCUAAUACCGCAUACGACCUACGGGUGAAAGCAGGGGAUCUUCGGACCUUGCGCGAUUGAAUGAGCCGAUGUCGGAUUAGCUAGUUGGCGGGGUAAAGGCCCACCAAGGCGACGAUCCGUAGCUGGUCUGAGAGGAUGAUCAGCCACACUGGAACUGAGACACGGUCCAGACUCCUACGGGAGGCAGCAGUGGGGAAUAUUGGACAAUGGGCGCAAGCCUGAUCCAGCCAUACCGCGUGGGUGAAGAAGGCCUUCGGGUUGUAAAGCCCUUUUGUUGGGAAAGAAAAGCAGCAGGUUAAUACCCCGCUGUUCUGACGGUACCCAAGGAAUAAGCACCGGCUAACUUCGUG
This 491-nucleotide ribosomal RNA is filed under the name uncultured bacterium. RNAcentral's name for it is "partial 16S ribosomal RNA". It matches the Rfam family "Bacterial small subunit ribosomal RNA", at positions 29 to 507 of the family's 1533-position model. The record is from RNAcentral.